RNA transcript from Trifolium pratense (red clover), 3909 nucleotides. It is a transcript of the gene named serine/threonine-protein kinase ATM-like, with no coding region annotated. Lineage: Eukaryota; Viridiplantae; Streptophyta; Magnoliopsida; Fabales; Fabaceae. The transcript has 35 exons. The record is from RefSeq and is a predicted model, not a curated record.
GAGGAGGAUGAGUAUGUGGCUAUGUGGUUCACUUAAUUGCCUUCCUAACUGGUUGUUGAAGCAAGAACUGCCAGAGAUUGUCAAGUCUAUCAGUAGGUAGUUGCGUGAGAAAUCCAUCAAAACAAAGGGUGGUGCCUUUUCUGUUUUGAAAGAACUCGUUGUUGUCUUGCCCAACUGUCUUGCAGACCACAUUGGGUCACUCAUUCCUGGAAUUGAAAAAGCAUUAAAUGACAAAUUGUCUACCUCAAAUUUGAAGAUCGAAGCGCUGAUAUUUACAAGAUUGGUAUUAUCUUCGCAUUCUCCUGAUGUAUUCCACCCUUAUAUCAAGGAAACGGGAAGAUAGAGCAUGGUUGAGAUUUCCCAAAAAUGAUAAGAGAUAGAAUUUGUUAUCGAAUAAUCAGGAGAGCAUGGUGUUAUUGGAUCAGCGAGCAGAAUUCCUUUAAAUGAUAUUGCUAACGGUAACGGGAAAUAUACAGUACAUAAUGGUACAUUUAUUCAUUGUGCAAGAUGUUCACUAAGAGCUUCGUUUAGGCGGAAUGUGGAAUCUAUCAAACCACGUCAUAUUGCAUUCCAUGGCUCAACUACAGCAUGCCUGAUGAGGAAAAUUCUGCAAGUAAUUGGGUUACAAAUCAAGCAGAAAGCAAGGAAAGUGUAUUCUUUAUGGCAUUUUUUUGCAAAAAAAGUGAUCGUUUUAUAAUUCUCUUGAACAAUGACUAAUUUAAUGUGCUGCCUAUCUGAAGCAAAACCAUAUUUUCAAGGCACAUGAGGGGAAGUACCAAACCGAAAUAAAUGCACUUGAAAACUUGGUGGUAGGGACAACCGAAGGGAAUGAGCUUACUCCCGCCGCACUGUGUAACUGCAAAAUUCUGUUCCUCGUGCGCCGAGAGAUGGUGGACUCAACAAUGGAAACCCUAGACUCAACACCACUGUCUCCUUUAACAACCACCGAUUGCAAACCUCAAAUCUCUUCUCCACUUCCCUGUUCCAUGUUCGCCGUAGGGUUGCACUUCUAUCUCUCUUUCUCCAAUACAUUCCAUUCUCCGAUGUAUAAUAAAAAUCAAGAUUCCCUAACUAACUAACAACAUUCCACAUUACUCAUACAACAAUAGUGCCACUGCAAACAUGGCCAACCUAGCUUUGCCCGGGAUACUUGGAAAGACACAGAUGAUUGGGAAGGAUAAAGAUCAGAGAUAAAUGGUCACUUCUGAUCUGGUUAGUCAGUUGCCCGGGAUACUUGGAAAGACACAGAUGAUUGGGAAGGAUAAAGAUCAGAGAUAAAUGGUCACUUCUGAUCUGGUUAGUCAGUUGACCAAAGCCACUUUUAGGGCCGAUUCUGAUCUCGAACUUAAAUUGAAAAAUAUCAUCAUACAACAACUUGACAUGCUGCUAGUGAUGUUUCUGGACUUGCUGUCAAAUGCCUUGCUCCGUUAGUCAGGAAGAUGAAUGAGCCAAGGGUUUGUCGAAAUGAGCAGUCAACUGUGUGACAAAAUACUUAACGUGAAGGAUCAACAUCGGGACAUUGCUAGCAUUGCUUUGAAGACAGUUGUUGCUGAAUGCUGAAGUUUCUACCCAAUCCCUUGCACAAUCUAAUCCUUCCAUUCUCUCACCACAGUUGAUAAAAGGAAUUACUGGCAAAUUUAUAUUUUUGGACGGCUCUUGGCAAUUUCUACUGGGAACACAAUGCCAGCAGCAGCGGAAGACACAAUGAUGGUACUGAAGAUGCAGGCCUUGUUGGUCAUAUAUUCAUCUAAAUGAGUCAACCUAUAAAAAGUGCGAGCCACUUCUCAUCUUCACGUGCACAAAAUCAUUUUGAGCAGCAAAUGUAUGUGAACCAGACAACUGAUGAGUGGAAACGAGUGGUAUAUUCACACUAGACCUUUUUUUGCAGGCCAAGCACAUACACUUACAACUCAGGUAUACUGCAGAAGAGAAGUGCUGAUGGUUGCACUAAGAAAAGGGACAAUGAUUUGCACCGGUUACUUUUUAUGCCUUAUGGCCUACCAGACGGUGCUGAGUUGGCUUACUAUGUCAAAUGACAGGUUUCUUGAUAUAAGCCCUUCACAGUUUGAAGCCCAUACUGGAAUGGCGGCUAGGCGUCAACCCCUGCUUAGGAUUGCAGUGUACCAGAUAGUGGUUGGCAUUGUCUAAAUUGUAACGAUAAUACUGGUGAUGGAAGACGUGCGAGGCCAAUCAUGAUUCGGUUGACACGGGUUGAUAAAGAACCAGAAUAUGAAAUGGGUGGAUGUGUUGUUUGCAGAUAUCUUUGCUCCUCCCAAGAAUCAUAAAUCGUUAUUACUCCCUGAAAAUAGACCCGUUUGUGUUACAAAACUCCCAGAGGACUGCCACUAUGAGCCAGAGGUGAAGAUUUGUGGCGGUAAAUUGAAUUUCCAAAUGUCCUAACUGGUUGUUGAAGCAAGAACUGUCAGAGAUUGUCAAGUCUAUCAGUAGGUAGUUGUGUGAGAAAUCCAUCAAAACAAAGGUAGUUAAAUAUGUAACAAAAAAAAAAGGUUGGUGCCUUUUCUGUUUUGAAAGAACUAGUUGUCUUGCCCUACUGUCUUGCAGACCAGAUUGGGUCACUCAUUCCUGGAAUUGAAAAAGCAUUAAAUGACAAAUUAUCUACCUCAAAUUUGAAGAACAAAGCCCUUAUGUAUUCCACCCUUAUAUCAAGAAGAGAGGGUGUGAAAGGCACAAGUUACUUGGUCCGCAGAUCCAUGUCCUUUGAAACUUCUUUGAUUGGUUGAGAAAUUCUUCUUUUGAAGUCCGCAGAGCCAUGUCCUUUGCAACUUUUUUGAUUGGUUGAGAAAUUCUUCUUUUGAAGGACUAUGAAAUUGGUGAUGGUACUACUGGAGUUGUUGUGUUGGCUGGAUCUCUUACAGGUUGGAGGUUUUGUAUGAGAAACUACUCAUGAUGAUGACUGGAAAUCUACAUAAUGCCAAGACUUUUGUAGUGGCUUUAACCAUAUGCUUGACACAUUGAACAAUUCUUCAGUCAAAUUGUUACAACACAUGGCUCUGCAAAGAAUUUGCCUUGAUCAUGCACUUCAAGACUCAGUCCAAGGCUGGCAUCCUUGGAAUAAGGGGAAGACUGUUCUUCUCAUAAGGUGGUUAGUGCCCAGCAAGCUGAAGACCUAAAAUUGAAGGAAAAGAGGAAGCGGGAACGAGAGAAAAAUUUGCCUAGAAAGAAGCACAGAAAGUUAGAACUAGAGAGAUGUUGGAGGAUGACGAGCAAGAUGACAAACCAAAAGGUGAGGGGACAGAUAAGAAUGAAAAGGAUUGACACAUGCUGAUCUUGCUUACCGACGUGCAAAAGCAGGAAAAGCCACCACAAAGAGGGCACUAGACUCUGGCAAGAUUUUGAAGAAGCCUCAAAAGAAAUCUAAUAUAUCUAAUCCUUCGCGAAAGACUUCCUCUUCAAGGACAGAAGAAAUGCAAAGAGAGGUUCUGGAACAGGAAAGAAGGCGAAGAAGUCAUUCAAAAGCAAGUCAAGUUCGGUUGCUGAAAAUUUAGAAAGACGAGACUUCAAUUUGAAGGAAUUUUGGGAGGAAGAGAGGGAUCGUGAGAGGGUGACUUGAGAUUUGAAGGAGGUGAUCUGAGAUACUACAUUUUACGAAAAGUGGUUUCGUUUAUCAAUCAUGAGUUUCAUAACACUGUGGCAGGGUUGCAAUGCAUCUCUCUUAUAAUUUUUUUGGUUCUUCAUCUUUGAAAAAAACCAGCAAAAUCAUCACAGACAACAAGUUCGUUGAAGACAGGGAAAUAUACAGUACAUAAUGGUACAUUUAUUAAUCGUGCAAGAUGUUCACUAAGAGCUUCGUUUAGGCGAAAUGUGGAAUCUAUCAAACCACGUCAUAUUGCAUUCCAAGGCCAAAAGAGAUGAAGAAAUUGGCCUUAAAGUUCGUUUAAGAUUGCGAAA